Monodelphis domestica (gray short-tailed opossum) is the source of this 1089-nucleotide non-coding RNA. The record is from RefSeq and is a predicted model, not a curated record. NCBI's taxonomy places the organism in Eukaryota, Metazoa, Chordata, Mammalia, Didelphimorphia, Didelphidae.
AUCUUAUACUCAUCCUUUCUGUUGGUCUCUUAUUUUAAUUUCAGAAGCUGAUUUAGUCAAAUGUUCUGUUGCCUCUGCCCAAACUCUCUCAUUAGCAAAGUCCUUUCUUGGCUUUCUGGAAAUUGGUUGACCUGUUGCUCUUGGCACGUGGCUCCAACUCCUGACAAAGUUUGGCUCUGGCUUUCCGAUACCAUUGACAUAUUCUUUCAGCUUUCCUGCUCACAUUUAGAAAUGGAUUCUUUUUUGUGUGUGUGGAGGAAGUAAAAGACAGGGCAGGCUCCAAAGCAGGAGCAGACAGCUGUUUUGUUCCAGGCUGGCAGUUGGUCAGUCAAUAAUCAUGUAUUCAGCACCAGGUUCCUGUCACUUCUGAGUUCUGGGGAGGCAACAAAAAAGGGCGCGUGUUUAGCUCCAGUCCUUGGUGUGCUUAUUUCAUUUCAAGCCCACAUUUUGACCGCGUCUCAAAUCCUCCGCAAAUGUAGCAAACUCUAAUGAGGUCAUCGGGAUUAUGAAGUAUCUGUUGGUGCUGUCAAGCCUGUGGCUCUCCGUUCAUUCGGACAGCUGCGCUAAGCCUAGUGGACUUUCAAUCAGGCUUCAUUGAACAACUCUGGGAGAGUCAGUGGAUCCUAGAGUUAGAACAUAACAUCAGCCUUCGUAUUCCUGCUUUAGGCAAGCGGGGGAAGAUGCAUUUACACCAAUAUCACGCUCAGCAGCAAGGAACGCUUGAGAAGACUCCAGGAAAACACGGGGCCUCACUGCAAGAUUCUUUGGAGGAGUUUACGCUCUGGGUCUGACUGCCUUGUGGGGAGACUUCCAUCGAAGAAUUUCUGUUGGAGAUUUCCUCACCAAGCCACGACGGAAGGAGUUCAAGAUGGACCAGUGUGGCACUGAAUCCCAUUCCAUACGGAACAAUGUUAUAGCGCUUCUAAAAUUGAGCCGUUAAAACAUUCAUUUUCCCUUCCCAGGUUAAAAUGUGCAACAGGGAAAAUGACUGGCAUAACAGUCAUAUGAAGAUGUUCUUUCUAAAAGGUUUAAUACUCUCCGGGAUUUUUUCCAAAAUAUGAGCUCAUUGUAGUAACUACCUGUCACAAA